This 675-nucleotide ribosomal RNA is filed under the name uncultured bacterium. RNAcentral's name for it is "bacterial SSU rRNA". It matches the Rfam family "Bacterial small subunit ribosomal RNA", at positions 62 to 750 of the family's 1533-position model. The record is from RNAcentral.
UCGAACGGAUCUGGUAGCAAUAUCAGAUUAGUGGCGUAAGGGUGAGUAAGGCGACGGCAACCAACCCCAAGGUUGGGCAUAGCCGCGGGAAACUGCGGGUAAUUCCCAGCGAUGUUCGUACCGGGCAUCCGGUGUGAACCAAAGUUCUGGCGCCGUGGGACGGGCCGUCGUGGUAUUAGGUAGUUGGCGGGGUAAUGGCCCACCAAGCCUCUGAUGCCUACCGGGCGUGCGAGCGUGGCCCGGCACACUGGGACUGAGACACUGCCCAGACUCCUACGGGAGGCUGCAGUCGAGAAUCUUCGGCAAUGGGCGCAAGCCUGACCGAGCGACGCCGCGUGGAGGAUGAAGGCCUUCGGGUUGUAAACUCCUGUCGAGGGGGAGGAAGGCGUAAGCUUGACCUAUCCCUGGAGGAAGCACGGGCUAAGUUCGUGCCAGCAGCCGCGGUAAGACGAACCGUGCGAACGUUAUUCGGAAUCACUGGGCUUAAAGCGCGUGUAGGCGGAUGGGGACGUCGGUUGCUGAAAUCCCCCGGCUCAACCGGGGAACGGGCACCGAAACGCCCCGUCUGGAGGGACGUAGGGGGACCUGGAACUUCCGGUGGAGCGGUGAAAUGCGUUGAGAUCGGAAGGAACGCCCGUGGCGAAAGCGAGGUCCUGGACGUUUUCUGACGCUGAG